Molecule: long non-coding RNA, 460 nt
Organism: Corythoichthys intestinalis (scribbled pipefish)
Lineage: Eukaryota; Metazoa; Chordata; Actinopteri; Syngnathiformes; Syngnathidae
Exons: 3
Source: RefSeq, a predicted model, not a curated record
GUUUCAUUGGCUGAGGUUCUCACGUUAAACCCCUCUCAUCUUCAAGACCUGCAGCUCUCCCAGAACGAUCUAUCGGAUGAGGGGAUCGAGAUCCUCUUGAAAGGAUUCGCCAGUCCACACUGCUUCUUACAAUACCUACGGCUAAAAUGCUGCGGAAUCACGAAGCAAGGAUGUAUUUCAUUGGCCCUUCCCACCUUCAAGAGCUUGACCUGAGCGAUAACAAUCUGUCGGACAAGGGGGUGGAGAUCCUGUCAAAAGGACUGUCCAGCCAACACUGCAUCUUAGACUGUCUUGAGCUGAGGAACUGCAAGAUCACAGAGCGAGGAUGCGUUUCAUUGGCCGAGGCUCUCAAAUUAAACAUUUUUAAUCUUCAAGAGCUGUACCUUGGGGCAAUCAAAUCACAGAAGAAGGAAAGAGGGUCUUAUUGGAUGUCAAAGAGGAUCCCAGCUAUAGGCUGAAA